RNAcentral lists this non-coding RNA (211 nucleotides) under Alkalithermobacter thermoalcaliphilus. Its description in RNAcentral is "Clostridium paradoxum T-box sequence". It matches the Rfam family "T-box leader". Rfam says of the family: Uncharged tRNA acts as the effector for transcription antitermination of genes in the T-box leader family. T-boxes are found upstream of many aminoacyl-tRNA synthetase genes and some amino acid biosynthetic genes usually in Gram-positive bacteria. The record is from RNAcentral. Lineage: Bacteria; Bacillati; Bacillota; Clostridia; Peptostreptococcales; Tepidibacteraceae.
AAAAAAGCUAUGAAGGAGAGAGUAGAUUGCAUCAGAUUUUACAGAGAGCUGGUGGGUGGUGCAAACCAGUAAAUCUAUGCUAUUGAAGAUCACUCUGGAGCUGCAGGCUGAAAUUUACAAUUAGGCUGUGCCGCAUAUAAUGCGUUAAAAAAAAUGAGUGCUAAAAAUUUUGGCAUUAGGGUGGUAACGCGGGUUAAACCUCGUCCCUUAC